RNAcentral lists this ribosomal RNA (252 nucleotides) under uncultured bacterium. RNAcentral's name for it is "partial 16S ribosomal RNA". It matches the Rfam family "Bacterial small subunit ribosomal RNA", at positions 524 to 776 of the family's 1533-position model. The record is from RNAcentral.
UACGUAGGGUGCGAGCGUUGUCCGGAAUUAUUGGGCGUAAAGAGCUUGUAGGUGGUUUUGUCGCGUCUGCUGUGAAAAUCCGAGGCUCAACCUCGGGUCUGCAGUCGAUACGGGCAAACUAGAGUAUUGCAGGGGAGACUGGAAUUCCUGGUGUAGCGGUGAAAUGCGCAGAUAUCAGGAGGAACACCGGUGGCGAAGGCGGGUCUCUGGGCAAUACUGACUGAGGAGCGAAAAGCGUGGGGGAGCAACAGG